UACGGGGGGGGCAAGCGUUGUUCGGAAUUACUGGGCGUAAGGGCUCGUAGGCGGCCAACUAAGUCAGACGUGAAAUCCCCAGGCUCAACCUGGGAACUGCGUCUGAUACUGGAUGGCUUGAAUCCGGGAGAGGGAUGCAGAAUUCCAGGUGUAGCGGUGAAACGCGUAGAUAUCUGGAGGAAUACCGGUGGCGAAGGCGGCAUCCUGGACCGGCAUUGACGCUGAGGAGCGAAAGCUAGGGGAGCAAACGGG
RNAcentral lists this ribosomal RNA (252 nucleotides) under uncultured bacterium. RNAcentral describes it as "partial 16S ribosomal RNA". It matches the Rfam family "Bacterial small subunit ribosomal RNA", at positions 524 to 776 of the family's 1533-position model. The record is from RNAcentral.